Molecule: ribosomal RNA, 440 nt
Filed under: uncultured bacterium
Lineage: Bacteria
Description: partial 16S ribosomal RNA
Rfam family: Bacterial small subunit ribosomal RNA
Source: RNAcentral
CCUACGGGUGGCAGCAGUGGGGAAUAUUGCACAAUGGGGGAAAGCCUGACGCAGCGACGCCGCGUGAGUGAAGCAGUAUUUCGGUAUGUAAAGCCCUAUAAGCAGGGCAGAAAAUGACGGUACCUGCUUAAGAAGCCCCGGCUAACUCCGUGCCAGCAGCCGCGGUAAUACGUAGGGUGCAAGCGUUAUCCGGAUUCACUGGGCGUAAAGGGUGCGUAGACGGCAGCACAAGUCUGGUGUGAAAUGCCGGGGCUCAACCCCGGUACUGCAUUGGAAACUGUGGAGCUAGAGUGCGGGAGAGGUAAAUGGAAUUCCUGGUGUAGCGGUGAAAUGCGUAGAUAUCAGGAGGAACACCAGUGGCGAAGGCGGCUUACUGGGCUGUAAUUGACGUUGAGGCUCGAAAGCGUGGGGAGCAAACAGGAUUAGAUACCCUUGUAGUC